RNAcentral lists this long non-coding RNA (1024 nucleotides) under Piliocolobus tephrosceles (Ugandan red Colobus). RNAcentral's name for it is "lncRNA (ENSPTEG00000038414.1)". The record is from RNAcentral. Lineage: Eukaryota; Metazoa; Chordata; Mammalia; Primates; Cercopithecidae.
GAAGAUAACAAUCAAUCAAAUAGGGUAAUGUAUAAACGUUAUCAUCCUAAUGGAAAUGUUAAUAAGUGGGUAAAUCCACAAAAAGAUUGUUCUAUUGUUAGUGAUGGUACAUGUAUUUAUAAUAAUAGUACUCGUGGUUAUAUUUAUGAUAAACAGAAUUAUUCUAAUACUUUAAAAAAUAUGCAUUUACUUUUUACAUUUUUAAAAACAUAUGCAUAUGAAAAUGGGUUAAAUAUAGAUGACUUCGUUACUAAAGAAAAUAUACAAUUAUACGAAAUUUUUUUAUCAAAAAUAGAUAAACAGUUAGAUUAUAAAAGUUUAGAACUCUUAUUUAUGACGUUCUUAUCAAAAAAUAAGGAUAAAAAAAAGUAUUGUGCUGUGGAUGAGAUGAUGUUAGAUGAAGGAAUGCUACCCCAAAACGAAUCAGCUAAAAAAGAACUAACCCCAAAAGAAUCAGCUAAAAAUGAAAUAAUAUCAAACGAAUCGGCUAAAAACGAAUCAGCUAAAAACGAAUCAGCUAAAAAUGAAUCGAAUACACAGUUAGAAAUAAUUGUAAAACAAAAAGAAGAAAUAGAAGCAGAGAUAAAAAGAGGAAUAAUACAAACAAAGGUAAUAGAAGAAGAUGCAGCAUAUGAAGAUACAUCUGUGAUAAAAGUAACGAAGGGAAAUAAAAUAAUAAAAGAUAUGAAAGAAAAUAUAGUAGGGGAAGGAGAAAGUGUAAAGAGUGGAAUACAAGUUUUCGUAGGGGAUAAAGAAAGAUAUAACUCUAUUUUAUAUACAAAAGAAAAUAAAGAUGAUAUAAUAGUAUAUCCAGAAAACGACAAAUUAUGUAACAAUUAUAUAAAUUCAAGUUUAUAUAAAUACAUGAAUAAUAGUAAUAUUAUCAUGUGUAAUAAUAAUGAUCAUGACUGUAGUAAUAGUAGUAACAAUAUUAUUGAUACUACUAGUAGUAACAUUAAAAAUCAUAUUAAUAAAUGUGAACAAGUAAAAGAAAAAUCUUUCGAACAACAUAAUGAAAUAAUAG